RNAcentral lists this unclassified non-coding RNA (300 nucleotides) under Panus strigellus. Its description in RNAcentral is "partial contains 5.8S ribosomal RNA, internal transcribed spacer 2, and large subunit ribosomal RNA". The record is from RNAcentral. Lineage: Eukaryota; Fungi; Basidiomycota; Agaricomycetes; Polyporales; Panaceae.
CGCACCUUGCGCUCCUUGGUAUUCCGAGGAGCAUGCCUGUUUGAGUGUCAUGGUAUUCUCAACUCCCUAAAUCUUUGCGGAUUUGGGUGAGUUGGAUGUGGAGGUGAUUGCUGGCGUGCAUUAGUUUGCGUUGUCGGCUCCUCUGAAAUAAAUUAGCGGAAAUGUUGCCGUGUCAACCUCAGUGUGAUAAUUGUCUACGCUGUUGUUGCUCUGCAAAAUAUAUGUUUCCGCUUCAAAUCGUCUUCGGACAAUUUCUUGACAUCUGACCUCAAAUCAGGUAGGACUACCCGCUGAACUUAA